CUUGGUCAUUUAGAGGAAGUAAAAGUCGUAACAAGGUUUCCGUAGGUGAACCUGCGGAAGGAUCAUUAAUGAAAUCCAAAUUGGUUGGUGUCCUGAUGCCAAAAGGAUCAGGCCCUGCCAUCAUUUCAUACACCUUUGUCGAACUGUAGGGAGAUGGGUUGAUACCUAUCUUUCACUUUUUCAUACUCUUAAAGUCUGAGAAUGAAGUCUUGGUUAAAACCAAAAUAUAAUUUUCAACAACGGAUCUCUUGGCUCUCGCAUCGAUGAAGAACGCAGCGAAAUGCGAUAAGUAAUGUGAAUUGCAGAAUUCAGUGAAUCAUCGAAUCUUUGAACGCAUCUUGCACCCUGGGGUAUUCCCUAGGGUAUGUCUGUCUGAGUGUUAUUUAAACUCUCAAAGUUCUUUUCCCUUGAUUGGGUCAGGAUACUUUGGAUCAUGGGUGCUUGCGGGCUUUGGCUUGCUCACCUUGAAUGGAAUGUGGCAUUCUUCUCUGAAGCUGCUGCUGGGUUUGACCUGGAGUGAUAGAAGACUUUCGAGAUCUCUAGGGAACUGUCUUUUGAUGGUGCCUGCUGUGGUGGGAGGGAGUGUCUAUCAGACUUAUUUGACGAUUUUAACCUCAGAUCAGGCAGGAUUACCCGCUGAACUUAAGCAUAUCAAUAAGCGGAGG
This 665-nucleotide ribosomal RNA is filed under the name Mycena sp. YO2-12. RNAcentral's name for it is "eukaryotic LSU rRNA". The stretch from base 229 to 382 matches the Rfam family "5.8S ribosomal RNA". The record is from RNAcentral. Lineage: Eukaryota; Fungi; Basidiomycota; Agaricomycetes; Agaricales; Mycenaceae.